This 547-nucleotide ribosomal RNA is filed under the name Agromyces iriomotensis. RNAcentral describes it as "bacterial SSU rRNA". It matches the Rfam family "Bacterial small subunit ribosomal RNA", at positions 327 to 873 of the family's 1533-position model. Lineage: Bacteria; Bacillati; Actinomycetota; Actinomycetes; Micrococcales; Microbacteriaceae. The record is from RNAcentral.
UGGGGGGCCCUUCGGGAGGCAGCAGUGGGGAAUAUUGCACAAUGGGCGCAAGCCUGAUGCAGCAACGCCGCGUGCGGGAUGACGGCCUUCGGGUUGUAAACCGCUUUUAGUAAGGAAGAAGGGGAGCUUGCUCCUUGACGGUACUUGCAGAAAAAGGACCGGCUAACUACGUGCCAGCAGCCGCGGUAAUACGUAGGGUCCGAGCGUUGUCCGGAAUUAUUGGGCGUAAAGAGCUCGUAGGCGGUUUGUCGCGUCUGCUGUGAAAUCCCGAGGCUCAACCUCGGGUCUGCAGUGGGUACGGGCAGACUGGAGUGCGGUAGGGGAGAAUGGAAUUCCUGGUGUAGCGGUGGAAUGCGCAGAUAUCAGGAGGAACACCGAUGGCGAAGGCAGUUCUCUGGGCCGUAACUGACGCUGAGGAGCGAAAGCGUGGGGAGCGAACAGGAUUAGAUACCCUGGUAGUCCACGCCGUAAACGUUGGGCGCUAGAUGUGGGGACCUUUCCACGGUUUCCGUGUCGUAGCUAACGCAUAAGCGCCCCGCCGCGAGCC